Molecule: RNA transcript, 3128 nt
Organism: Mangifera indica (mango)
Lineage: Eukaryota; Viridiplantae; Streptophyta; Magnoliopsida; Sapindales; Anacardiaceae
Gene name: protein DEHYDRATION-INDUCED 19-like
Exons: 7
Source: RefSeq, a predicted model, not a curated record
UUCGACCCUAAAUCAGAAAUUUUCUGCUACGCAUGUGGGAGUGGAAUGCAGAGCUAUAACAAAUCAUCAAGUGUGGUACUUGCGUAUCAAAGGGCUCAUUUCGCAUCAUUCUUCAGCUACGUUCACCAAUUCUUACUCAACAAGUGACAGAUUGUUAUCUUCGUUCACUACGAAUUUGGCAGGUUCAGUGGUUUCCAUGCGCCCCCAUUUGUCCACUGCUAGUCUCAUCGACCUCUCGAACAUGUCAAUCUCUGCAUUCCGGAGAAUAAUUGUGGUUUCUGGUUUCAUCAAGUCAACUGCACUCAAUAUAAACACCCAAUUGAAUCACGUAUCAAACUGGUAAAUCGUGGCAACAUGAAGUCUUUGUUAAUAUGAAUUAUAUAUCGAUAGAAUCUAGUAGGUAGAGAGCAAAAAAUCAGUAAAUUUUUGCUCUCUUGUAAAUUAUGGAAACGUAGAGAGAAACUGAGAGAGAGAUGGACCUCGAUUGUUACAAGCAGUGAAGAGGAUGGUGGCAGUGUCAUCACCAACAAGACAUUCAGCCAUCCGAGUUUGGCGGACCCUUUAGCACUACGGAACGGCGUUGCAUUUCAACACUUUUGCGAUAAGAUUGUGACCGUUAGUUCCCGGUUUCAGCUGAUCAACUUUCACAAACACUGGCUUUCUCUUCUCUGCAACCUUGGUGUUCGUGUUUCCUUGCUGCUGCUGCUGUUGUAGUUGUUGUGUUGGCGGCUUUUUCCGGGUUUUGUCGUCGUGUCCAUAGCAUUCGUUUAAACUUAAGCUUCUGUUAGAUCGUUUUGGUUGGUGCUGUGGAUCAAAUUAGUGAAAUUUUGGGUGGAAAAUUUAUCAUUGGACCAAAUUAAUAUUAUAAAUACAUAGUUAUGCAACUAAAAUUUCGAAAUUAAGGCUUGUUUCCUACUUUUGGUAUAGAAAAUAAUGUUGCAAUAAUAGUGCAAAGGAAUUUAAGUUCUUCACAUUUAUAUAUUAUAAAUAAGAAACAAACAAGAAGAACGUGUGCAGAUGACUACGAAAGAUGUCCGACAUUUCUCCUGCUGUCUGCUCUACCACAAGCAUCCCUCUCUCUUUCUCCUUCAUUCUAUCCUCCAUCAUUGAACCUUUCUCCUCCACCUGUAAUUAUAGAAUACUUCUAUUUGUUUAUUUUGUAUUUAUCGUAAGACAUGCAACAAUAUUAUAUUAAUUUUAGGAAUAUACCCCACCAUCUCUCUCUCUCUCUCUUCUCGUAUCUGAAGAUUAGUUAGAUCAUCCUGUCUUGUGAUUCCUAAGAAUGAGUCAAAGACUGCCCAGAAGAGAUUUUCGAAAAAGUAUUCGAUAUUUUAGGUGAAUAUAUGAAAUCAUAAUUGUUGUUAAAUAGGUAAUAUUCAGUACCAACUGGGUUUCUGAUAUUUCAAUGGACUCCGGUUUCUGGACCUCCCGUCUGGCGGCUGCCAAGCGUCAAUACACGUUGCAGCAUCAUCAUCAUCAUCAUCAGAGUUCGCACCUGGAUCGGUUGAGCAUAGAUGAUUUUGAGGUAGAAGAUGAGGUGAGGCCUGAUUUUCCAUGUCCAUAUUGUUACGACGAUUUCGAUAUCGCGUCGCUCUGUUCGCAUCUCGAAGAUGAACACUCGUGCGAGUCAAAAGUCACGGUAUGUUCUGUUUGCUCUGUUAAAGUCACAAGGGACAGCUUAAGUCAUAUUACUCUGCAACAUGGACACCUAUUCAAGUCACAGAAACCCUGUAGAUUACAUAGAGUUGCAAUUCCUAGCAGUCAAGCUUUGUCUCUUCUGGGCCAAGAUCUCAGGGAAGCUCAUCUUCAAGUGCUUUUAGGGGGUGGUGGAUAUUGGUCAAACAAUGCUAAUCUCUCUAAUGCAGCAACUAAUCCUUUCCUUUCAUCACUUAUUUUGAAUUUUCCUUCAUCUGACAUAGAGGAAAUUUCAAAAUCUGUUGUAACAAGUGCUGAGGACACUGCUGCUAAGAAUCCAGCACCAACACAUAUCUGGAAAUCGAGUUUUGAUCCCUCUUUGAGUCAAGAGGAGCGGGAUAAAAGGAUGAGGCAAGCAGCUGGGAGAGCUGGUUUUGUGCAAGAUCUAGUGCUCACAACUCUUUAACCAACUGAAGGGAGACAGUCAAUUCAUGUUGAUUGUUCAUUAUGAGAAGUGAAAAUAAAGCCAAGAAAAGCCAGUCAGACAGAACCAGUAGUUGCUCAACACUACUUUAAAGACUUAAGUUAGUUGUGACGGCGGGUCGGUGAGUUGGGUAGAUAAUUUUUCACCAAUUUUUAAUAAAAACAAAGGAAAAAGACUGGAAGAUAGAAGGCAACAUCGCUAGCCAUUAAAGUCGGUCCACAAUCCAACUUACGCCAAGAUUCCAAUUCCUACUCGGAUACAGCUCACCUGCAUCAACAUCUCUCAACCCACUAAAGUCAUGCGGUAAUAUCUUCAUUCUCUCAACAGUAAUCGGAGAAAACAGUUCCAGAGACUGGAUAUGUAUGUUGACCAGAGCCCCGCUAUUAAAAUAUGUUUAAUUAUUCUCCAGACACAAUAAUUCCAAGCAAGUAUACAAAUUCUGCUCUCUCUGUCAACCAUAUACAAUAUACAGCUUUUUUCUAAUCAGACCACCGACCCAUCAAAGUUUCAUAAUAACAGGCUCAGGGAUCCCAUCGAAUCUUAUAUAUUGAAGGUUUCAUCUGGGUGUUGGUUACGGCGAUCAAAUGAUGGUGGAGUUAUUUGUCCUGGGUUGUACAGGAAUUGUGGUGUUCCUUCACGGAGCCAACUUUUUCUUCCAUGUUAUUUCCCAGCACCUCACCGUUCGUUCUCUCAGUUUUCUGGGAUUUGUUGGCUGGUAGAGAAGAAGAGUAGAAGAUGGAAGGUGCAUUUAUAAGUGGUUUAUGAGAUCUUAUAGCAAAUUUAGAAGCUAGUAAUAUUGCUGGACAAGCUACAAAAUAAAAUGGUGGAAUCGAUGUAUUGAAAUUCAGGCAGAACCAACCAGAUUUAUAUUAUAAUAAGCCUGUAAUUUUUGUUUAUGAAUUACCCCCAUCAGUGCUGGUCAUCAGUACUGGUGUGUAUUGUGGAAGUGAGAAUUUGUGAAUCAAUAAUGCUGCAGAAAGAGCUUCUCUGUGGGAGGCAAUUUUUGUGA